Molecule: long non-coding RNA, 516 nt
Organism: Solanum pennellii
Lineage: Eukaryota; Viridiplantae; Streptophyta; Magnoliopsida; Solanales; Solanaceae
Exons: 2
Source: RefSeq, a predicted model, not a curated record
UAAGCUUGAUACUAUGCCACUUGAACUAGCUGAUAUACCCAGCCUUGUAGAGAUGAGGCUGGAUAACACAAGCAAAGCGGUAAAAUCCGCAAAAAAAUUUCGGGAUAGCAAGACAUCUAAAAGCAUGAAACUCAAGCUAAGCAUAUACCCACCUGAAAAUUAAUCCAAGGUUGCACAGUGAUAUUUAAAGGAGAUGACUUGGACAUCGAGCUUGCUGGAAGCCAGGGGUCAUCAGACAAAUAGCUAACAGGAGUAUCGUCAUUUUGAAAUAAGGCUAGGUCUGCUGCAACUCGAGUUCCCCUUUAUGUAGAUUGUUUUUUUUUCUCCGUUAUGAAACUGUUUGCAUCUUUCCUAUUCUAUUAUCUUUGUAGUUGCGUAAAACUGUUGUUUGCAUCUUCCCUAUUCUGUUAUCUUUGUAUUUGCUUUGGUAUGUUCGUGUAAAACUGUUGUUUUAAUCCAUCAUUGUUUUUGUUGAAAGACAUGUUACUCUCAACAAAGGCCUUAUUAACUUGGUAU